Molecule: unclassified non-coding RNA, 367 nt
Filed under: uncultured fungus
Lineage: Eukaryota; Fungi
Description: partial contains 5.8S ribosomal RNA, internal transcribed spacer 2, and large subunit ribosomal RNA
Source: RNAcentral
AACGCAUAUUGCACUCGAGCCACGGCAAGAGUAUGUCUGUCUCAGCGUCAGCACACCCCAUCGCUCUUUCUCUUAACUGACUGAGAGCGGAAGUGGCCGUCUCGGUUUUCUUUCCAAGAAACCCGGGUCGGCUGAAGCACAGGGCCCCUCGCGGCCGGGCGCUCAGGUCUCCGAUCGGUGAUCGGAGGGCGCCAGCUUGGUAGGUGGCUCUCCGCAGCCGCAUGCCGCUGUCGCCCCUUUCGUUUCGCCGGUCAGGAGGACCUGGUGACCCAGCGCGCGUCGGCCAUAAUCACCCAAGGAUUUUUACACCAAAAAUCCAUAACAGUACCUUGACCUGAGAUCAGACAAGACCACCCGCUGAACUUAA